This 32-nucleotide ribosomal RNA is filed under the name Microspongium alariae. Its description in RNAcentral is "partial 18S ribosomal RNA". The record is from RNAcentral. RNAcentral also lists the same sequence under 1 other name. Lineage: Eukaryota; Phaeophyceae; Ectocarpales; Chordariaceae.
UUUCNGUAGGUGAACCUGCGGAAGGAUCAUUA